This 715-nucleotide long non-coding RNA is filed under the name Aotus nancymaae (Ma's night monkey). RNAcentral describes it as "lncRNA (ENSANAG00000038828.1)". Lineage: Eukaryota; Metazoa; Chordata; Mammalia; Primates; Aotidae. The record is from RNAcentral.
CACAAAAGCCCUUUUUGGCCAAUUAUUAGUAAUUUUCACUUAUAAAGAAACUUGAAGGUUAAGGAGCUUGUUUAAAGACACCCAGCAAUGGAGCAGUUGAGUCAGUUCAGUUCAGGUUAAGGCUCACUUCUCUUCAAGCCGCAACUGCCUGGCCCUGAGCCUGAGUCCCCACUCCCCACACCACACACCUCAUACCCAGGAACCUGCCACAUGUGCUGAGUGAGUCUGUGGGUGGGGUGAGUUGUUUUGGAAAGUAGUCUCGGCUGUUGUUCCCAUGGAAGAUCACAGUGAGCUCAGCUUGUUGACAAAUGUUGGGUUCCCACUGACCUGGCAGCUUUUUAUGGGGCAGAAUUUGCUGAAACUCAUAGAAGAGAAGGAAGGAGAAGAAAGCAGACAGUUUAUCUAACCCAGAUCUUGAAAAGGAAAGACAGGCAGCAUUGUGCCCUGGGGAAGCAUGCAGACUGGGGACAAUGUAGGCCUGGCACCCGCCUGGAAAGACUGCCCACACAGAGCCAAAGAUGCCCCAGGAGUCUGCAAAGGCAAAUGGAUCAGGUGCCUUCCAGCCAAAGGCCACAGCCAGAGAAAGCCAGAAUGCUGCAAGAAUCAGAAGGAGAGAAAGUUCUGGCUAGAGGCUUGGGGAAACCCAUAUAAAGAAGAAACACUGGGCAUGAGAAGACCUAAAAGCAAUCAUAGCAGCAGGUAACUUAUAUAAAGA